AGAGGCUGCGGGGAGAGCGUCCCGCCGGCCCCGCCGAGCGCGGCCCCGCCGCCGAUGUGGCGCACGAGCGGGGAAAGGCGCUCCCCGAGCAGGUGCUCGAGGGACGGGCGGGUGCCGGUGGACACCGCCCCUGCCGUUCCCUUCGCGAGCCCCUCCGUGUCGGUCCGCUUCCCUUGCGAGCGAACCGAGAGCUGGCUUUGGACCUGGCUGUAGCGAGUCACCCAAGCCUCCCCCCAGGCCUUUUUAACGAAAAGGACGGGCACUGGAGCAGGCGGUUCCCCGACCGCCGCUCCCGAGCCCUCGGGCGAGGCCGCUGCCACACGCGGGGGUUUCCCGGAGCGCAGGGAGCGCGGCGCCGGUGAGAGGCAGCGGCAGGCGCGGCCCAGGCGAGCCUCGGGCUGGGGGGUUUAAGGUGGCGGUUGUCGGCCGAGCGUGAUGUUACUCCUUGCCGCAGAAGCCGGGGGAGUUGUACAGCACGCUUGUGCCCCUUUGACAGUGUGACCCUGCUGGGAGAUGGGGCAGGACUGCAGGACCAGGAGCCUAAUUAGCACCAUAAUGUUGCACUGAAAUGAGCCUAGAGUGAUAGUUGCGUUUUGCGCGUAAAUCGGGACAAAAUCCUGCUUUAGUACACGUAUGGCAUUGACUAACUUGUACGCAGAAACACACACUGGUUCUGAAAUCGGCCACCACUUCACGUGUCAUCCUUCCUCCUGCAUCUGUCCCUGCACUUCUUUAGCUGACGGAUGCUGCUGACUGAAAUACAGGUUUCCCCGCAGAGGGGCCCCUGUAGCUUGGCAUUCUCAGUGUAUUUGGACGGUGUGUACUUAGUUGGAGAAGGGGUCAGGAUUUCAUACUGAGGUAUGGGUUUUUCAGCAUAUUUGUUAGCUUUUUUGGGUUUUUUUGGCCUAUGGGACACUUGCAAAUUUAAAUGUCGGCAAGAUAUUGUCUUAAUAUGUUCAAAAGUAUCAGCACCCAGAUAUGAAUCAGUUUUAUUGAAGUAUGUUCUUAAGUCUGUAUGAUUUAGUAUUUUAGUUAAUUUUACAAUAUGCACAAAAUGUAGUCCAGAUAGAACUAUGAUAUCUGACAGCAGGAGAGAAUUUAAGAUUUGCCAGUUCUUCAUACUCCGUCAGAUAUUUGAAAAUGAUGCUUUGUUCUUUCAGUUUUGUCUGUCACUUGGCAUUAAUCGUCAACAGCAAUGUUGAUCUUAAAGUCAGGGUCUUAACAUUUUUUUUCUGUGAAGGAGUAAGCACACUACCACGCAGAACGUUUUUGUUCAGUUUAAUAAUAAUCACAGUUAAUGGCUCAGCAGCACUGCCACAAGUAAACAUUGGGGUUUUUUCGGCUAACCGAACGGCUCUGACUCAGGAGCUACAUAGGGUCAUAUACUGUAGUGCUCGUAAUAUACACACAGAAACUUGCAUCGGGAUCAACAAUAACUCAGCAUGUCAACAGAUUCAAAUCUGCAGCUGGGAUAGAUCAGUAGUUCCACUGGACCUUAUGUGAGCUGAGAACUGGGCCUUAGUAUCUUGCACUGUUGGUGGGAAACUGGUAUGGGCAAACAUUUUACAAACUGUAAGAAUUGCAAAGGUGCCUCUAACUGUAGGUCUAAAACUAUUAAAAUAUACCACACAAAUUUGAAACUGUGCGGUGACCUGUAUAAGAUGACAGAUACAGAGACUCAAGACGAGUAACUAUACCUUUUAGUCAUGUGCUUGCUAUGUAGACAAUGACUGAAUAAUGAAAUCUACUAUUAAGUGUAAUACUGUUAGAGUUUAUUGGUUCUGAUUUAUAUUUCUAUAGAUAUUUAUAGUGGACUAGGGGAGUUUUGUUGUUGUUUUUAGCCACAGAAAGUAGUAAUUUAAAAUGCUGACUCAAAUCUGCAUAUUUACCAUAUUUCCUUACUUCUUAGGUUUUGAAAAAAUUAUGACAAUAGUUACUUCAAGCAAUUGAUAACAGGUCAAAUGUAGAAAUAAUAAAUUAUGGGUUCUGAUUCACUGAACAAACAUGAAAUUCAGUAUUUCAGAUUUCUCCUUGAAAUUUUAUUUUAGGCUAUUUAUCAAUAAAUAUUUCUGUAAAAAUGAUUUUAGUAUCUUAAUUUUAAUACACAAAUAUUGUAGAAAAAGAAAAAAUUGUACUUUUGCACAUUAUGCAUUGCAAUGGACAAAAAUUAUAAGUUAACUAAAUAAUUUUUUUUAAAAUCACAAGGGUUUCAAUUGUUUGGUCUGUAUUAACACUGUAUUAAAUGAGGAUUAAUGAUUGCAGUGAAUCAUAGAAAACAGCAACCUCAUAUUUGAUUUUGAACGACUGUUUUCUUUCUGAUAGACUCCAUAAUGUUCAGUUAUAAUAUUAUUAAAUAUUUGAAUAGCUAAAAGAAUAACUAAAAUGUAUUUUAAAUUCAUUAUUUGACAGUUGAAAUUGCUAAUUUUUUCAUGCUCAUGUAGCUUUUUAAAAGAAGGCGAUUCUGUGCCUUAUAGACAGAUUUUCAUAUUUUACCUGUUCAAAAGCUGCAGGAGUUUUUAAUCCAUUUUCUACAAGCAGUUGCCUUGUUUUCAAAUAACGUUUCAAGAAUUUCAUAUUUUUCUACUUCUUAGCAGUAGCAGUUUUAAAACACACAUUAGUUCAUUCUGUGAACUUCAGCUGCAGCACAGCAUCUUCCCAGUUUUCCAGCAAUACUGAACUGUGUUUUAGAAUUAAAGGCAUCAUCUGGGACUGAUGAUUAGAGCAAGGAAAAUUCAGCAAUUAAAAUAGUACCAUCCAGGUCUGACUUCUUCAGGAAAACAGUCUUUUCAAUUCUGUUUUUAUUUAUUUUUUUUUUAAUACAGGCAAUUUCAGUGACAUUAUUUUGUCCCUUUUGCUUCCAGAUUAUGUGGGUUUCUUGAAAACACUUCCAUACAUUUCAGCGUCUAAAAAGAGGCCAAGUUUGGGGCCAUCACUGCUGAACUGCAAACCGGAAACUACAGGAAAAUUUAGCAGAAGCAACUUGUGGUACACCUGUGACAGUACUGAUACACCUGGGAGAAGAAUCGGAAUUGCAUUUUAGGAACUCAAAACAGCCUUCUACAAGCCCGUGGUAGAAGAGUUCACAUGGAAGAAAAUAUCAGUCAAGUAGACAGGAUGCAAAGAAAAAAGCAAAAGAGGAUAAUAAACGGGAGGGAGGCUUUGUGGCUUCUUAAAAUACUUCCAGCUAAAUGUAGGACAGCAGAGAUUUUGUCAAAAUUAGCAGUCAACAUGAUGUAAGUGUGUAGGAUAAAAUUUAUUUCAUUGGUGAGGAAAAGACAACUAUUGUAACUUACUUAGCUACAGGAUAUUGUUUCUGACACUUCAUCAGCAUGUUGUUCUUAAUACAGAGGCUGAACAUUAUUUGUGUCAAAAUCGUCACUCAGAGCCCUUGCUUUCCAGCAGACUUCAGCUUCUUAGUCAUAUGCAAACUCAUGCAGUUAUUUUUUUGGGGGGGUUCAAACUCUGUUUGAGGCCAGAGUAGUAGCAGAUAAACAGAAAGAGAC
Long non-coding RNA from Corvus hawaiiensis (hawaiian crow), 3503 nucleotides. RefSeq lists it as uncharacterized. The transcript is spliced from 3 exons. Lineage: Eukaryota; Metazoa; Chordata; Aves; Passeriformes; Corvidae. The record is from RefSeq and is a predicted model, not a curated record.